UUAGAGGAAUUCCCUGCUCUGUUGUGGUCGUCUAUGUUCAGGGACAUUUCCUCAAACAUAGAAGAACACAGCAGAGCAGGGAAUCCCUUAAA
Molecule: non-coding RNA, 92 nt
Organism: Pelobates cultripes (western spadefoot toad)
Lineage: Eukaryota; Metazoa; Chordata; Amphibia; Anura; Pelobatidae
Source: the annotation of a GenBank genome assembly